GGCACCUCAGAUAGGUCAACCGUCAAACUACUGUUCUAAGGGCUUACCUUUUUUUGUUACAUUAACAGUAACUGGUAAAACUAAUCCAAGCGUUAACUAACAGAG
Sander lucioperca (pikeperch) is the source of this 105-nucleotide long non-coding RNA. RefSeq lists it as uncharacterized. The record is from RefSeq and is a predicted model, not a curated record. The transcript has 3 exons. Lineage: Eukaryota; Metazoa; Chordata; Actinopteri; Perciformes; Percidae.